This is a non-coding RNA of Podarcis lilfordi (Lilford's wall lizard), 73 nucleotides long. The record is from the annotation of a GenBank genome assembly. Lineage: Eukaryota; Metazoa; Chordata; Lepidosauria; Squamata; Lacertidae.
GGUUGUAGCUCUGUGGCAGAGCACCUGCUUUGCAUGCAGAAGGUCCCAGGUUCAAUCCCCACUGGCAGCAUCC